AACCUGCCCAAGAGAUCGGGAUAACACCUGGAAACAGAUGCUAAUACCGGAUAACAACAGAUGAUGCCUAUCAACUGUUUAAAAGAUGGUUCUGCUAUCACUCUUGGAUGGACCUGCGGUGCAUUAGCUAGUUGGUAGGGUAACGGCCUACCAAGGCGAUGAUGCGUAGCCGAGUUGAGAGACUGAUCGGCCACAUUGGGACUGAGACACGGCCCAAACUCCUACGGGAGGCAGCAGUG
RNAcentral lists this ribosomal RNA (239 nucleotides) under uncultured Lactobacillus sp. RNAcentral's name for it is "partial 16S ribosomal RNA". It matches the Rfam family "Bacterial small subunit ribosomal RNA", at positions 123 to 356 of the family's 1533-position model. Lineage: Bacteria; Bacillati; Bacillota; Bacilli; Lactobacillales; Lactobacillaceae. The record is from RNAcentral.